Long non-coding RNA from Hippoglossus stenolepis (Pacific halibut), 785 nucleotides. RefSeq lists it as uncharacterized. The record is from RefSeq and is a predicted model, not a curated record. NCBI's taxonomy places the organism in Eukaryota, Metazoa, Chordata, Actinopteri, Pleuronectiformes, Pleuronectidae. The transcript is spliced from 5 exons.
GUGGUGCGUCGGCAGACCUAUGAAUGGGCAGAGAGGGGUGUGCUCUCGCAGACACCAUAGCAGCAGUGAGAUGAGGAGUGCCGUCUACUACACCGCACGUCUGCUGAACUGAGAGAAGGGAAGAGGGAAGACGAAGGGAGUCAGAGCUUCCAAAGGACAUCAUCAAUCUCAAAGCUCCGUCAGCACUGAACGUCUGCUGAGGAAUAAUAGAAGUAGAAAAAAUUCAGCCAUGGAGCAGAAGACAAAUGAGAGUUCCAACACCACCUCUCCUCAGAAGCAGAUGAAGAACAGGUCCAAGUCAACGGAGGAGAUGCAACAGUCGAAGAAGGCCUUUUCCUCACAAAAAUCCCUCCCCGGCAGACCAGAGCUGGACAACGUGAAGGAGUGUCCCGAUGGCUCUGACACACCCUCGUCCUCCACCGAAGAAAGUAAUAAAUAAAAGGGAUCAGCAGGACUAUAAAGCUACAAGAUCAUCAUACAACAACAUGAUACACAUAUACAAAUGUAAAUAAUGUGCACAAGGUAACAUGCAAAAUAUUGAGGAUAAUAGUGAACUACAUUAGAAAAUCAACGAAGUGACGAUUUGUUAAAGGAAACUGUAAAAGAAAAAGGUAAAUUGAACAAACACACAAACGAUCUGAGACAAUCGCAUGUCAACCAGCCGUGAGGAUGCUGUCUUCAUUGUACUGUCAGUGUCAUAUACAAACCACACUGAAUGUGUCUUGAGAAUAAAAUGAUUCCUCAUCUGUUCUCACUCCAGGAAUAAACUACUGCAAAACUCAAAA